Molecule: non-coding RNA, 376 nt
Organism: Paramuricea clavata
Lineage: Eukaryota; Metazoa; Cnidaria; Anthozoa; Malacalcyonacea; Plexauridae
Source: the annotation of a GenBank genome assembly
CACAGACAAGACCGUGAGAGGUCCGCAUCAAUUUACAUUCAUUGCUAAAACUUGAUGGAUUAUUAAGCGGAGUGUCCGCGUACGAAAGAUAAGCUGCCUUUGGCACUCCGAGAGCGCGUUCGAAUGCGUUCCAAACGGUAUCGGGGUUUACAAGAAGUGCAAAGUCCUGUUUUUGUGUUGGAUAAUAUCCUACGGCGAUCUCAAUGUGAAAAUAUAAGACACUACUACAGAGAUCCGGCUGGCUGAGUUAUGUCAAACGCAUGUACCCGACUGCGCCGAGUACUCAAGCGACCUCGUUGUUGUGGCUUCUUAGUAAUCGGUUGGAUAUUAUGCUUCGUGAUAUUUUGUAUUCUAACAUAUAAUACGCCAGCGAUAG